This 310-nucleotide long non-coding RNA is filed under the name Triticum aestivum (bread wheat). RNAcentral describes it as "long non-coding RNA (TAES_LNC007113)". The record is from RNAcentral. Lineage: Eukaryota; Viridiplantae; Streptophyta; Magnoliopsida; Poales; Poaceae.
AGCAACUAGGCAGAGAAUCCAGAUUGUAUCCCAGUUCAUUGGCACGUUUGCAAUGAAUAGUUUAUUGAGAUGAUUGAGCCGGACAGGAAUGGCGGUUGGUUCGAUCCACAUCUGCAUAUAUGAAGUGAUAAUUUUGCACUGUCUUAUGUAGCGAUGCGACGUUAUGACCAAUAAAAAAAGGAUCAUUUCAGGAAAAGCUACUCACCUGACGCCCUCUUAACUGCAGAACAAGGUACUCUAGAGAUGGCGGUGCCCCUCUAAAGAAUUUGCUUAGUUGAUAUGUCCUGUUGCUACGAGAGGAAUCAUCCUU